Long non-coding RNA from Pan troglodytes (chimpanzee), 429 nucleotides. RefSeq lists it as uncharacterized. The transcript has 3 exons. The record is from RefSeq and is a predicted model, not a curated record. Lineage: Eukaryota; Metazoa; Chordata; Mammalia; Primates; Hominidae.
AAAUGAGUCUUCAUUUGUGGUUAGCAAGCCAGCCCUUCAUUUCCCCACCAGGCUCAGAGUUUUGCAAACCAAAGUUGGGGGAUGGCUAGCGUGGCCUCCCGGCAGUUCCUGUUGCAGACAGCUAGAAGAUUCUCAAGAUGAUGGUCACGUCCGUUCAUUCAUCCAUUCGGUCAACAAAGACUACCACAGCACCCUCUGCAACUUCAAAGGAGAAAGGGACUCAGCACAAAUGCCCAGCAGGAGAGAGUGGACAAAAUGGCUCUUGUCACCAAUGGAAUGCUCUACAGCAAUUCGAAAGAAAGAAACACCUCUACAUGUCGAUGGAAAUAAACAAAAACUAGGUGCAAUGUGGUGUCCUGGAUGAAUCCUGGAACAGAAGGAGAACAUACGAGGAGAAACUGUUAAAGUCCAAAUAAAUUCUGGAACUCU